Molecule: unclassified non-coding RNA, 310 nt
Filed under: plant metagenome
Description: partial contains 5.8S ribosomal RNA, internal transcribed spacer 2, and large subunit ribosomal RNA
Rfam family: 5.8S ribosomal RNA (bases 1-105)
Source: RNAcentral
GAAAUGCGAUAAGUAGUGUGAAUUGCAGAAUUCAGUGAAUCAUCGAAUCUUUGAACGCACAUUGCGCCCCUUGGUAUUCCAUGGGGCAUGCCUGUUCGAGCGUCAUUUGUACCCUCAAGCUCUGCUUGGUGUUGGGUGUUUGUCCCCGUCUCCGCGCGUGGACUCGCCCCAAAGUGAUUGGCAGCCGGCGUACUUGUCCCGGAGCGCAGCACAUGUCGCGCAAACGAGUGCCUUGGUACGGCGGCGUCCAUAAGCCCCUCUCUCACGCUCUUGACCUCGGAUCAGGUAGGGAUACCCGCUGAACUUAAGC